Non-coding RNA from Pelobates cultripes (western spadefoot toad), 631 nucleotides. The record is from the annotation of a GenBank genome assembly. NCBI's taxonomy places the organism in Eukaryota, Metazoa, Chordata, Amphibia, Anura, Pelobatidae.
AAAAUAAUUACCUCUAAAUCCCUUUACUCAGAUGUUGGGGUUAGGACUCUAUCAAAUAUUUUAUACUCUGCCCUUGGGUUUUUACAUUAUUUUGCAUUAUCUUGCACUUAUCCAUAUUUAAUGUAAGUUGCCACAGCUCUGACUAUUUUUCUAGAUUACCUAAAUUAUUUGCCAUUUGGCAUAUUCCUUCUGGAACAUCAACCCUGUUGAAAAUUUGUUUUUCACUAUCAAAAACUCAUACCUUACCAUCAAGACCUCCUGCAAUAUCAGUACUAAAAAAAGAGAAUGGGUCCAAGUUCAGAUCCCUGAGGUACCCCACUGGUAACAAAACCUUGUUUUGAAUAUACUCCAUUGACUACAUCCCUUUGUUGGCUGUCACUCAACCACUGUUUAGCCCAUUCCACAAUAUUGGAAUCCAUACUCAGAUUGCUGUUUAUUGAAUAGCCUUCUAUGUGCAACAUUGUCAAAAGCUUUACUGAAAUCUAGGUAAGCAACGUCUACUGCACGGCCCUGAUCUAUUCUUAUAAAACACAAAAUCUACACUUUUGAUGUUGGGCUUUGUGGCCACCAAAAAAAUGUAAACUGUUUUCUGUGCGUUUAUGAGUAGUAGAAGUAUAGCAUUCUCAUGCUG